This 254-nucleotide ribosomal RNA is filed under the name uncultured bacterium. RNAcentral's name for it is "partial 16S ribosomal RNA". It matches the Rfam family "Bacterial small subunit ribosomal RNA", at positions 524 to 776 of the family's 1533-position model. The record is from RNAcentral.
GACGUAGGGCGCAAGCGUUGUCCGGAUUUAUUGGGCGUAAAGAGCUCGUAGGCGGCUUGUCGCGUCGACUGUAAAAACCCGUGGCUCAACCAUGUGGUCUGCAGUCGAUACGGGCAGGCUAGAAUUCGGUAGGGGAGACUGGAAUUCCUGGUGUAGCGGUGAAAUGCGCAGAUAUCAGGAGGAACACCGGUGGCGAAGGCGGGUCUCUGGGCCGAUAUUGAUGCUGAGGAGCGAAAGCGUGGGGAGCGAACAGG